GUCUACUCAGCAGUGAAGACAGACAGACAGAGAUACAGGUAGAGCUGUAUCUGGACCCAGGGACGUAAUGUACAGACUGAGUGACCCUGUUCAUCAGAACGUCAUGGUGGGUGGAAAAAGAUGCUCUCUUCAGCUGAAGUGAAUAACCACAACCCUGUCAGUCCAUCUCUUUACUUCUCUUGUCGCUUCUCUUCUCUCUCCCUCCUUCCCUUUUCACACCAACGCACUUAUCUUUAGACGCUUCGGCCUUGACCGCCAUCAACAUCAUCAACAACAGAGACGUGUGAAGUUUCCACAACAAGAGUUAGUUUAUCAUGAGGACAUAC
This is a long non-coding RNA of Coregonus clupeaformis (lake whitefish), 326 nucleotides long. RefSeq lists it as uncharacterized. The record is from RefSeq and is a predicted model, not a curated record. The transcript has 3 exons. Lineage: Eukaryota; Metazoa; Chordata; Actinopteri; Salmoniformes; Salmonidae.